GGAUGCGAUCAUACCAGCACUAAAGCACCGGAUCCCAUCAGAACUCCGAAGUUAAGCGUGCUUAGGCGAGAGUAGUACUAGGAUGGGUGACCUCCUGGGAAGUCCUCGUGUUGCAUUUC
This 119-nucleotide ribosomal RNA is filed under the name Triticum dicoccoides. Lineage: Eukaryota; Viridiplantae; Streptophyta; Magnoliopsida; Poales; Poaceae. The record is from RNAcentral.